RNAcentral lists this ribosomal RNA (566 nucleotides) under uncultured bacterium. RNAcentral's name for it is "bacterial SSU rRNA". It matches the Rfam family "Bacterial small subunit ribosomal RNA", at positions 338 to 916 of the family's 1533-position model. The record is from RNAcentral.
CCUACGGGAGGCAGCAGUGGGGAAUAUUGCACAAUGGGCGCAAGCCUGAUGCAGCGACGCCGCGUGAGGGAUGACGGCCUUCGGGUUGUAAACCUCUUUCAGUAGGGAAGAAGCGAAAGUGACGGUACCUGCAGAAGAAGCGCCGGCUAACUACGUGCCAGCAGCCGCGGUAAUACGUAGGGCGCAAGCGUUAUCCGGAAUUAUUGGGCGUAAAGAGCUCGUAGGCGGUUUGUCGCGUCUGCCGUGAAAGUCCGGGGCUCAACUCCGGAUCUGCGGUGGGUACGGGCAGACUAGAGUGAUGUAGGGGAGACUGGAAUUCCUGGUGUAGCGGUGAAAUGCGCAGAUAUCAGGAGGAACACCGAUGGCGAAGGCAGGUCUCUGGGCAUUAACUGACGCUGAGGAGCGAAAGCAUGGGGAGCGAACAGGAUUAGAUACCCUGGUAGUCCAUGCCGUAAACGUUGGGCACUAGGUGUGGGGGACAUUCCACGUUUUCCGCGCCGUAGCUAACGCAUUAAGUGCCCCGCCUGGGGAGUACGGCCGCAAGGCAAACUCAAAGGAAUUGACGG